Molecule: ribosomal RNA, 568 nt
Filed under: uncultured bacterium
Lineage: Bacteria
Description: bacterial SSU rRNA
Rfam family: Bacterial small subunit ribosomal RNA
Source: RNAcentral
AUGGCCCGCGUUAGAUAGGUAGUUGGUGGGGUAAUGGCCUACCAAGCCUACGAUCUAUAGCUGGUUUUAGAGGAUGAUCAGCAACACUGGGACUGAGACACGGCCCAGACUCCUACGGGAGGCAGCAGUGGGGAAUCUUGGACAAUGGGGGCAACCCUGAUCCAGCCAUGCCGCGUGAGUGAUGAAGGCCUUAGGGUCGUAAAGCUCUUUCGCCUGUGAAGAUAAUGACGGUAGCAGGUAAAGAAACCCCGGCUAACUCCGUGCCAGCAGCCGCGGUAAUACGGAGGGGGUUAGCGUUGUUCGGAAUUACUGGGCGUAAAGCGCACGUAGGCGGACUGGAAAGUUGGGGGUGAAAUCCCAGGGCUCAACCCUGGAACUGCCUCCAAAACUAUCAGUCUAGAGUUCGAGAGAGGUGAGUGGAAUUCCGAGUGUAGAGGUGAAAUUCGUAGAUAUUCGGAGGAACACCAGUGGCGAAGGCGGCUCACUGGCUCGAUACUGACGCUGAGGUGCGAAAGUGUGGGGAGCAAACAGGAUUAGAUACCCUGGUAGUCCACACCGUAAACGAUGA